RNAcentral lists this ribosomal RNA (497 nucleotides) under uncultured bacterium. RNAcentral describes it as "partial 16S ribosomal RNA". It matches the Rfam family "Bacterial small subunit ribosomal RNA", at positions 28 to 507 of the family's 1533-position model. The record is from RNAcentral.
GAUGAACGCUGGCGGCGUGCCUAAUACAUGCAAGUCGAGCGAACAGAUGAGGAGCUUGCUCCUCUGACGUUAGCGGCGGACGGGUGAGUAACACGUGGAUAACCUACCUAUAAGACUGGGAUAACUUCGGGAAACCGGAGCUAAUACCGGAUAAUAUAUUGAACCGCAUGGUUCAAUAGUGAAAGACGGUUUUGCUGUCACUUAUAGAUGGAUCCGCGCCGCAUUAGCUAGUUGGUAAGGUAACGGCUUACCAAGGCAACGAUGCGUAGCCGACCUGAGAGGGUGAUCGGCCACACUGGAACUGAGACACGGUCCAGACUCCUACGGGAGGCAGCAGUAGGGAAUCUUCCGCAAUGGGCGAAAGCUUGACGGAGCAACGCCGCGUGAGUGAUGAAGGUCUUAGGAUCGUAAAACUCUGUUAUUAGGGAAGAACAAAUGUGUAAGUAACUAUGCACGUCUUGACGGUACCUAAUCAGAAAGCCACGGCUAACUACGUG